Molecule: ribosomal RNA, 253 nt
Filed under: uncultured bacterium
Lineage: Bacteria
Description: partial 16S ribosomal RNA
Rfam family: Bacterial small subunit ribosomal RNA
Source: RNAcentral
UACAGAGGGUGCAAGCGUUAAUCGGAAUUACUGGGCGUAAAGCGCACGUAGGCGGUUUUUUAAGUCAGAUGUGAAAGCCCCGGGCUCAACCUGGGAAUUGCAUUUGAAACUGGGAAACUAGAGUGUGUGAGAGGGGGGUAGAAUUCCAAGUGUAGAGGUGAAAUGCGUAGAGAUUUGGAGGAAUACCAGUGGCGAAGGCGGCCCCCUGGCACAACACUGACGCUCAGGUGCGAAAGCGUGGGGAGCAAACAGG